ACGGGGAUGUGCGAUCUCCCCGCGAGGCGACAUGCCCAAGCAUCGCGUCCCUGGAUCACCAAGGGCGCCGCAUG
RNAcentral lists this non-coding RNA (74 nucleotides) under uncultured Bradyrhizobium sp. RNAcentral describes it as "chrB-a RNA". It matches the Rfam family "chrB-a RNA". The record is from RNAcentral. Lineage: Bacteria; Pseudomonadati; Pseudomonadota; Alphaproteobacteria; Hyphomicrobiales; Nitrobacteraceae.